This 495-nucleotide ribosomal RNA is filed under the name uncultured bacterium. Its description in RNAcentral is "partial 16S ribosomal RNA". It matches the Rfam family "Bacterial small subunit ribosomal RNA", at positions 28 to 507 of the family's 1533-position model. The record is from RNAcentral.
GAUGAACGCUGGCGGCGUGCCUAAUACAUGCAAGUCGAGCGAACAGACGAGGAGCUUGCUCCCCUGACGUUAGCGGCGGACGGGUGAGUAACACGUGGAUAACCUACCUAUAAGACUGGGAUAACUUCGGGAAACCGGAGCUACUACGGGAUAAUAAUUUCAACGGAUGGAUUCAUAGUGUAAUCCGGCUUUGCUGGAUAUUAUAAGUGGAUUCGGGCCGCAUUAGCUGGUUGGGAGGUAACGGCUUACCAAGGCGACGAUGCGUAGCCGACCUGAGAGGGUGAUCGGCCACACUGGAACUGAGACACGGUCCAGACUCCUACGGGAGGCAGCAGUAGGGAAUCUUCCGCAAUGGGCGAAAGCCUGACGGAGCAACGCCGCGUGAGUGAUGAAGGUCUUCGGAUCGUAAAGCUCUGUUAUUAGGAAAGAACAAAUGUGUAAGUAACUAUGCACGUCUUGACGGUACCUAAUCAGAAAGCCACGGCUAACUACGUG